This 86-nucleotide transfer RNA is filed under the name Methanobacteriota archaeon. Its description in RNAcentral is "Euryarchaeota archaeon tRNA-Ser". It matches the Rfam family "tRNA". From Rfam's summary of the family: Transfer RNA (tRNA) molecules are approximately 80 nucleotides in length. Their secondary structure includes four short double-helical elements and three loops (D, anti-codon, and T loops). Lineage: Archaea; Methanobacteriati; Methanobacteriota. The record is from RNAcentral.
GCCGAGAUCGCAUAGCCCGGUAUUGCGGUGGAUUCGAAAUCCACUGUCCCUUGGACACGGGAGUUCAAAUCUCCCUCUCGGCGCCA